UAUUGGUUGUUUAUUGAUGAAAAUCUAUUUGUGCAAGACUUGAUGGUUACCCAGGGAAAGGACAGAUGAGCCCAGUAUAUAGGGAACCCUACUGUGAAUGUUACAUCAGUCGGACGGGGCUGGGAAGUCUCUUGUCGAAAAAAUUUAGGAGAUAUGUUUCACCCUCAUACCGUACAGGGUAUCAAAGUGAUGGAAUGUUUAACGUCCAUUACCAAAUAGGAUAUGGAGAUGGCCGAUCAAUAGUAAAAUUGGAUAUUGGGUUCACGAGUAGGGGGGACUCCGCCAUGGACCCCAAAGGGUACUAGUAAACAGGUAAAAAAGAAAAAUUAUUGUUUCUUGUUCUCUUAUGC
This 350-nucleotide long non-coding RNA is filed under the name Carica papaya (papaya). RNAcentral's name for it is "long non-coding RNA (CPAP_LNC002442)". The record is from RNAcentral. Lineage: Eukaryota; Viridiplantae; Streptophyta; Magnoliopsida; Brassicales; Caricaceae.